Bactrocera oleae (olive fruit fly) is the source of this 3210-nucleotide non-coding RNA. The record is from RefSeq and is a predicted model, not a curated record. NCBI's taxonomy places the organism in Eukaryota, Metazoa, Arthropoda, Insecta, Diptera, Tephritidae.
AUCGAAAAUUGUUCGGAUUCUAUCCUUAGUCUUGCCAUAAAUUCUGUUACAAAUUUUAGAAUGCAUACUGCGAGAACAAAUUCGCAAAAAACAGUCUCGUUAUUAUACCCGGAACAACGUAUAUUAAGUUUUUCAUUAUUUUUCCAUAGAUGUCGUUGUUUAUCUGUAUCUCGCGUUGUAUAAGUUCGAUCGGGUUCGGCUAGAUGGUGUUAGAAAGAUGACAUUUCGUACUAAAAAAGCUUUUCUGACAAUUUUAUGAUUAAUUGAUUCAGUUUUGUUUGAGCGCUCGUCAAAGAUGGACACUAGCAAACAGAAAAUAACUAUAUUUUACAGUCUUUCUUCGAUAAAGGCGAAAACGCUGAAAUGUGAAUAGUUUAUGGUCCUGAUACUGCAACAGCCAAUCAUGCGCAAUUUUAGUUUCGUCGAUUCCGUUUCGGUAAUUUCGAUGUCAAAGAUGCAUCACGCUUUGGGAGACCAAUUAUCGAAAAAAUCGAUCGAAUAAUUUAAAUCGCCGAGUCCAAACAUCGAUUACGAUUGUCCAGGACAUAAACAUUGCACAAAAAACCGUUUGGAAUCAUUUGAAUAAGGCUGGAAACGAAAAGUAAUAAUUAAAGCAUUUCAUGCAAAAAUAAUGGAUUUUAUUUUACUACACCUAAUAUAUAUAUAUAUGAUCAGCGUGACGAGCUGCGUUGAUUUAGCAAUGUCCGUCUGUCUGUAUUUACGCAAAAUAGUCCCUAAUUUUUUGAGACAUCGCUCUGAAAUCUUGCAGCCAUCCUUUUCUUCCCAAGAAGCCGCUCAUUUUUCGGCACCGCCGAUAUCGGGCCACUAUAGUAUCUUCACAAAAUUUAGCAGGGAUUAUUGUCUAAGGCAACGAAGAAAUUUUUUGAGUGGCACGCGGUCAACGGCUAUCAAAGUGUCCUUUUUACAGAUGAAGCAAUUUUCACUGCUGAAGAAAUUUUUAAUAAUCAAAACAACAAAAUCUACGCUAAAACUUGCAAAUAAGUAAAAAAGGCAAAAAAUGUUAUGCCAAGAGUUCAACGUGGUCACCAUCCAUAUGCUGCAAUGGUUUGGUAAGGAGUCUCCUGUAAAGACGUUACAUCUCUUCACUUCUGUGAAAAGGUGGUUUAAACUGAAGUAAAAGUUUACCAGCAAGAUGUUUUAGAAGCAAGAUUCUGCUCCAGCACACAAGGCAAAAACCAACCAGCAGUGGCUUAUAAGCAAUAUUUUUGGUUUAUUAGCUGCAGAUGUUUAGCGGUCUGGAAGCGCAGAUUGGAAUCGAUUGGACUACAGUUUGUAGUUAGAGAACAUGGCCUGUGGAAUACCUUACAGAAUUUAGGAGAGUCUCAAAACAUCUUUCUUUCAAGCAUCGUCGUCAAUACCACUAGAAACUGUGCGUGCUGUUAUCGAUUAAUGACCGAAUCGUAGAAGGCUUGUGUGAAACAUUCAAUUAAAAUUUGCUCUAUUAAAUAAAAUAAACCUUAUUAAAAAAUGUAUAAUAAUUUCAAUUUUAUAACGACCUGAUCUUGUAACAGAACUAAUGGCAAGAUUAAGUAUACGAGUAUGGUCUCGGAAUAAAAUUUUCGAUGUACAUAUAAAUCUCGGAAUCUGCUGCACAAUAAUUCUGGAGUCCAAUUAAUUGUAUCACAUUUUGGAAUAAAAUUGCGCGUAGUUGGAAAUCGAAUCGGUAGAAUAUGAGCCACUUUUGGAAGACGCAACGAACUUUUGAAAGAUACUACAUAUAUUUACUACAAUAAUGGUCGUAGCUGCAUGUAGAAGGCGACAGUGCAUUAACGUUUCGAUAACAAUAAAAUACUAUAGCUGGAUUGUUUGAAAAAGUUAAAAAAGUUUUAAGUAGAAUUCAAAAUUGGACCUUGAUUACUUUUCAUAGAUUUAAAAGUACAUACAUAUGUAUAUAAGUAUAUGCACAUAAAGCAGCUAGCUGUCAGCUGAAAAGCAAUCAACAACUUUGACACAACUUUUACUAUAGAACUUUGCGAGUGCAUAAAUACUCACAUAAACAUAUGUAUGAUAAAAAACAAACAAACAAAACAAUAAAAAAAACCAAAGCUUUCUGUACUCGUGCUUUGAAAGUGAAAAGCGAAGAAUUGCAAAACUUUCACUUACGACAAGCUGACUUUGAAAAUUUCUUAUUGCCAUUCAAACUUAUUUCAUGAAAGUCGUGUCGAAGUCAUGAAUGACGGAUGAUCUACUAUAGACUACCUCUAUUUGCAUAUGGGUAUGUGGAGUGCGAGCACUACUUGUAUAAGUAUAUUAACUGCAGAACGUUACGCGUAAGGCUUAAUAAACACAUGAGAUUUCGUCGCUCUUCAUUGCAAUGGUUAAGCAGGGUUUCUCUGGGCUUUGCUGCAAUAAUGAGACUGAUGAUGCACUAAGUAUUUUGGAAAAAAGUUCGAAGAAGCUCAGUAGAACAGCUAAACUACAGCAAAGUUUUUAUGGACACCGCGUAGACAUGCUUCUUGAUAUAAUUUAUUGCUGAGUUUGGGUCUACCACAUAUAAUUAAUAAUUUAAAAAAUAUUAUAAUUUGUUUUAGAAUUUACAUUUUUUCGAGUUCAUUCAAAUCAAAAAGUAAUAUUUUCAAUUUUUAAUCCCAAACAUAUGAAGUCCUCUUCCCCAAGUGAAGUGAUCUGCUAGCUACUUAAUAUUUUAGUUUUAAUUGCAUUUCAAUUCAUCAAGCUUUAUUGCAAUAUUAUCUUCGAAAAAUAUUUUCACCGUCUUAUCGGACGACCGUCUUGCUUGCAGAUGAAUGAUUAAAGUAUGCGCGCGCCCAUAAAAUACCGUCAUGACGUUGAAAUAACAAUGAAAAUUCCAAGCAACAACAAAACCAAUUUGCGAAACAAUCAAAGGUGCAACGCAACUCAAAAGCAACCACAAACACGCAAGGACAAUGAACGUAAGUAAGAACGCCGCCCACAAAGGUCACGUGCUACAGAAAGCGAACAAAUGCCAAACCAUAGAUAUAUACACAGGGGGAGAGAAAACAAUUUAAUACGCACCUGUUGCAGUUGUUAUUGUUUGACUUGAAAUAAUUCUAUGUAUUUAUGUAAAUGUAUAGGAGUGCAUUGGCGAAAAGCAACAGGUCCUUUAAUGAGAGUAAUAAAACAGAAAAAUAAAUAUGUCACAUGUCUCAUAGGAAGAGCGCCACAAAAUUAUUGUUACAAAAAAAAUAAAGUUAUAUUAAUGGAAACCAA